Molecule: transfer RNA, 73 nt
Filed under: Myxococcales bacterium
Lineage: Bacteria; Pseudomonadati; Myxococcota; Myxococcia; Myxococcales
Also listed under: 1 other name
Description: tRNA-Thr
Rfam family: tRNA
About the family: Transfer RNA (tRNA) molecules are approximately 80 nucleotides in length. Their secondary structure includes four short double-helical elements and three loops (D, anti-codon, and T loops).
Source: RNAcentral
GCCCACCUAGCUCAGUUGGUAGAGCACGUCCUUGGUAAGGACGGGGUCGUCGGUUCAAAUCCGAUGGUGGGCU